This is a long non-coding RNA of Herpailurus yagouaroundi (jaguarundi), 2446 nucleotides long. RefSeq lists it as uncharacterized. Lineage: Eukaryota; Metazoa; Chordata; Mammalia; Carnivora; Felidae. The record is from RefSeq and is a predicted model, not a curated record. The transcript is spliced from 3 exons.
UCAAAACAAAUUUAAAUCCAUGUCGACCACCUGAAUGAUCUUCAGUGGCGUUCACCUGAGUUCACUGGGGUGCACGCAUCUGUCUCCGGGCCUUUGCACUGCCGGUCCUCACCACCCACCCGGCGCAGAUGCUGCGGCAUUUCCAAGCAGAAAAUAAGAUCUUAACAACCGAGACUGGCUGAGGAGGCCGCUCUGUGUUUCCACGAAGCUAUCUGCUAACAUUUAUCCUGUCAUGAGACCCUUGCCCAGGACCCGUGCAGACUGAAAAAUGGCUGUAAACGUCCGGUGUAUUUUGAGAAGAGCGGCUGUAGGACUGGGAAGAUUCUCAACCGCCAUCAUAAGGAAGUCUAAUUUCUGACGAUCGCAGAAUGUGUUUGGACGCCGUCUGCUGCAACGAACCCCAGCAAUGAGAAAUGGAACGUCACCUCCUCGCGAGGACAUGUCACUGACAGCAGAGCACUUUUCAACGGCGAUCUUCUUAACGAUAAAGAGCACGACCUACCUCGACUCCGUUCAGAAGAUGCCGGAACUCAGGGCAGAUGAAGGAGCUGCCCGCGUAGGCAGCGUCGAUGUGCAGCCACACGUCCUCCUUGUUACCUGAAAUCCAGAGGUGACCUGUGAGUUCCCCGACAGAUGCCCUCCUCACGGGGGCCUGAUAACUUACUGCAUACGGUCUAUCAACAGCAUUUGCUGGCCCGAUGGUGGACCCUAACUGGCUCCUUGAGUCUGAAGGCAACGCAACUGAGGGUGGUUGGCCCCAGACUGUGGCAGAGCACAGACAAGGUGCUCAGUGAAUGUGUGGACUUGAAGGAAGGAAAAUGGGAUCCCCCGCCCUGCUUGACUUGAAGGUGGAUGCUCAUGGUCUAAGGGCUCAGCCCGCCCUAACCCUUGGGGUGCCUUUUUCGCAGUCACACUGCCUUUCUCUGUCUUCUGCCAUCUCAUCCACUGGGAAUGUGCUCCCCAUUCUCCUGGAUUAGGGGUCCUAAAGUCUUCCCCCACAAAGUCUUGGGGGAUCAGCAGGGUGUGCAGCCCCAGUGACCCCCCUCCCCCCCCAUUCCAUCCCCCCGUAAAGCAUACUCGCUUAUUUUAGGCCAUCCACAACCACGCCAGGCUCCUUUGGGAUGCGAUUUCUGCUUUCCAACCGCACCGGAAUAGCCUGGCCGGAAGGGACCACGUCUGACUUUACAGGUGGAAUAGCAUCCUGAUUAAAUUUGCUCCCUCAGUUGGGACUGUCUGGGUUCAACCCCUGCCUCCAACGACCCAGCAGCUCUAUGGCCUUACGUCCUUUCAAACUCAGUCCCCUCCCAGGCAAACAGGUAUAAAAAUCACACCCGGAACGUCAGGGAGAGACAAGAUACCGCCUGUAACUGCCUAUCACCACACCUAGUUUGGGGUCGUGAGAAAUAAGGGUGAUCAUCGCGAUGAGUCCCUCCGUGGGUGCUGGGCACGCAGCACUCACGAGACACGUAACCACGAAAGGUUGGGGCGUCUCGGUGGGGAGGAGGCGCCCUGCCCGUACUGGGUCAGGACACCACCUGCGUGGCUCAGUCAGCCCCUGCCAAAUGCAUCUGUGCCGACUGAUAGGCGCAAGGCUCGCUUUCUCAUGCGUGAUGCUCGCUAAUCACACCCGAUGCCAUGAGGAGGGACAGGUGGCUCUGAGCUCUGCUGACACAAGUUCUCAGAGGCGUUUCAAAGCCUUGAUUCCAUCUGAGCUUCAGGAUUGGAGGGAUCAAAGCACUCGGUUGGAUCCAGACCAAAUGCGCUCCGAGGACACGUGAUAGUGCCACCGAGGGUCACGGUGAGGGUGAGCUCUGUGUACCCGGAGGCACGUCUCACAGGCGAAGGGCGUGUGGGCUGGUCCCUUUGUGGAGCCGUCUCCCUGGCACCACAGGGCCCCACAUGGAUGUGGCCGGGAGCCAGUGAGAGCACAGAGCCUCAGGACAAUGUGGGAUUUCUGCUUGGAAACCACCGCUCAGCCAGUCUGGAACACAACAGUGCUCCUGUUGCUUAUCGUGCGACUGCUGUGGCUCUGUAGGCUGUGGGCAGGUGGAAACUUCAGAGGCUCUUAUAGGACAGACAUGAAACCUCACAUCCACUCUGUGCUCUCCAGGGGACCGUUUGCGCUGGUCAGGAAACUUCGUUCUCUGUUAGAGGCCCCUCUGGGGACUUUGAGACUCCCAUGUGUCUCCCUUCAGAACCAUCGAGGGAAGAGGUGAGGCAGGGCAGGACCCCAAGGCCUGAACAGGCAGCCAAGUCAGGAAGGACACGAGCCAUGAGGGUAGGAGGUGGGGACCAGGUUCCAGCAGCAAGAGAAAGGGCUCUCUUUUCUUCACUUCUCCAUCACCCUUGUGAGAGGACCGUUUGGUAAGAGUAGAAACCUCAAGUUAUGGGGCGCCCGGGUGACUCAGUCAGUUGAGCGUCCAACUCUUGAUUUUGGCUCAGGUCA